RNAcentral lists this ribosomal RNA (439 nucleotides) under uncultured bacterium. RNAcentral's name for it is "bacterial SSU rRNA". It matches the Rfam family "Bacterial small subunit ribosomal RNA", at positions 338 to 795 of the family's 1533-position model. The record is from RNAcentral.
CCUACGGGAGGCAGCAGUGGGGAAUAUUGCACAAUGGGCGAAAGCCUGAUGCAGCAACGCCGCGUGAGCGAUGAAGGCCUUCGGGUCGUAAAGCUCUGUCCUCAAGGAAGAUAAUGACGGUACUUGAGGAGGAAGCCCCGGCUAACUACGUGCCAGCAGCCGCGGUAAUACGUAGGGGGCUAGCGUUAUCCGGAAUUACUGGGCGUAAAGGGUGCGUAGGUGGUUUCUUAAGUCAGAGGUGAAAGGCUACGGCUCAACCGUAGUAAGCCUUUGAAACUGAGAAACUUGAGUGCAGGAGAGGAGAGUAGAAUUCCUAGUGUAGCGGUGAAAUGCGUAGAUAUUAGGAGGAAUACCAGUUGCGAAGGCGGCUCUCUGGACUGUAACUGACACUGAGGCACGAAAGCGUGGGGAGCAAACAGGAUUAGAUACCCUAGUAGUC